RNAcentral lists this unclassified non-coding RNA (449 nucleotides) under Perichlaena richardii. RNAcentral describes it as "partial external transcribed spacer". The record is from RNAcentral. Lineage: Eukaryota; Viridiplantae; Streptophyta; Magnoliopsida; Lamiales; Bignoniaceae.
UGCUUGGCAUGUCGGAUCCCUGCUCGGGCAGCGACGAUGUGCCUAGCUCGCCUCUUCAGUUGGUCGCCCAAGUGAGUGCUAGCCUUGGCUGCUCUCUCGGUUUCCUGUGUUGCAUACCCACCAAGAGGGUAUUGAAUCGGCUAAAAAAUGUCCCGUUUCCGCCUUGUGCCGCGCCCCUCGGGGCCGUGGUGCGGGGUGGACUACAAAGCAUCCGCCGUGUUCCACUUCUCGCCGCACGUCCCGUUGCGCGUCGAGUUGUUGGCCCAUGGCGGCAUGCUCGAUCUCUCGGAUGCGGAAAAUUUAGUGGGCACGAGGCCACCGGUCCCUAUUUGUCCCGAAACAAAGCGUUCUACGCUUCGUGCGAACGACGGCCGUUGCCGUCUUGGUCCGGCCCUCGCGGCUUGGGUCAUGCGGUCUCGGCGUCGAUGAGGAAUGCUACCUGGUUGAUC